GAGGGCGUAGCUCAGUCGGUAGAAGAGCAGCGGCCUUUUAAGCCGUGGGUCCUGGGUUCGAGUCCCAGCGCCCUCA
This 76-nucleotide transfer RNA is filed under the name Phycisphaerales bacterium. RNAcentral's name for it is "tRNA-Lys". It matches the Rfam family "tRNA". From Rfam's summary of the family: Transfer RNA (tRNA) molecules are approximately 80 nucleotides in length. Their secondary structure includes four short double-helical elements and three loops (D, anti-codon, and T loops). Lineage: Bacteria; Pseudomonadati; Planctomycetota; Phycisphaerae; Phycisphaerales. The record is from RNAcentral.